RNAcentral lists this unclassified non-coding RNA (331 nucleotides) under soil metagenome. RNAcentral's name for it is "partial contains 5.8S ribosomal RNA, internal transcribed spacer 2, and large subunit ribosomal RNA". The stretch from base 1 to 120 matches the Rfam family "5.8S ribosomal RNA", at positions 35 to 154 of the family's 154-position model. The record is from RNAcentral.
GAUGAAGAACGCAGCGAAAUGCGAUACGUAAUGUGAAUUGCAGAUUUCAGUGAAUCAUCGAAUCUUUGAACGCACAUUGCGCCCGCCAGUAUUCUGGCGGGCAUGCCUGUUCGAGCGUCAUUUCAACCAUCAAGCGCCUCGCUUGUGUUGGGGCCCUGCGGCUGCCGCAGGCCCCUAAAUCCAGUGGCGGGCUCGUCGUCGUACCGAGUGCAGUAAACAUCCUCGCUCAGGGAACCCGACGGGUGCCGGCCGUGAAACCCCCCCUCCUCAAGGUUGACCUCGGAUCAGGUAGGAAUACCCGCUGAACUUAAGCAUAGCAAUAAGCGGAGGA